Molecule: ribosomal RNA, 443 nt
Filed under: uncultured Bacillota bacterium
Lineage: Bacteria; Bacillati; Bacillota
Description: bacterial SSU rRNA
Rfam family: Bacterial small subunit ribosomal RNA
Source: RNAcentral
GGGCCCGCACAAGCGGUGGAGCAUGUGGUUUAAUUCGAAGCAACGCGAAGAACCUUACCAAGGCUUGACAUACACACGAAGCCGUUAGAGAUAACGUCGCCCUUCGGGGCGUGUGAACAGGUGGUGCAUGGUUGUCGUCAGCUCGUGUCGUGAGAUGUUAGGUUAAGUCCUGCAACGAGCGCAACCCUUAUCUUUAGUAGCGAACGCGUAGAGGCGCGCACUCUAGAGAGACUGCCGUGACAAACACGGAGGAAGGUGGGGAUGACGUCAAAUCAUCAUGCCCCUUAUGUCUUGGGCAACACACGUGCUACAAUGGCUGCGAACAAAGCGAGGCGAAACCGCGAGGUGGAGCAAAGCGCAAAAAAGCAGUCUCAGUUCGGAUUGUAGUCUGCAACUCGACUACAUGAAGUCGGAAUCGCUAGUAAUCGCGAAUCAGCAUGUCG